AUUGAACGCUGGCGGCAUGCUUUACACAUGCAAGUCGAACGGCAGCGCGGGCUUCGGCCUGGCGGCGAGUGGCGAACGGGUGAGUAAUGCAUCGGAACGUGCCCAGUAGUGGGGGAUAGCCCGGCGAAAGCCGGAUUAAUACCGCAUACGACCUGAGGGUGAAAGCGGGGGACCGAAAGGCCUCGCGCUAUUGGAGCGGCCGAUGUCGGAUUAGCUAGUUGGUGGGGUAAAGGCUUACCAAGGCGACGAUCCGUAGCUGGUCUGAGAGGACGACCAGCCACACUGGGACUGAGACACGGCCCAGACUCCUACGGGAGGCAGCAGUGGGGAAUUUUGGACAAUGGGGCAACCCUGAUCCAGCCAUGCCGCGUGCGGGAAGAAGGCCUUCGGGUUGUAAACCGCUUUUGUUCGGGAAGAAAUCCUCUGGGCUAAUACCCCGGGGGAUGACGGUACCGGAAGAAUAAGCACCGGCUAACUACGUG
Molecule: ribosomal RNA, 482 nt
Filed under: uncultured bacterium
Lineage: Bacteria
Description: partial 16S ribosomal RNA
Rfam family: Bacterial small subunit ribosomal RNA
Source: RNAcentral